GUCGUAACAAGGUUUCCGUAGGUGAACCUGCGGAAGGAUCAUUACCACACCUAAAAAAAACUUAUCCACGUGAAUGUAUUCUUGUAUUAGGCUAGGCUGCUUUUUUAAUUAAAAGUAGCCAUUGAUGAAAAUUAUUUAUUUUAUUUUUAAAAUACAUAAUUAGUAAUUAGCAGAAGGUUGUUCUUUAUUGAAUAACUGAUGUAUUUUUAAUCCAAUAAAUUUAUUAAAAAAACUGAAAUAUACUUGCUUACAGAAAUGUUUGCAUUUUAUCUAGAUACAACUUUCAACAGUGGAUGUCUAGGCUC
Molecule: unclassified non-coding RNA, 305 nt
Filed under: fungal sp.
Lineage: Eukaryota; Fungi
Description: partial internal transcribed spacer region
Rfam family: Eukaryotic small subunit ribosomal RNA (bases 1-44)
Source: RNAcentral